AGAGUUUGAUCCUGGCUCAGGAUGAACGCUGGCGGCGUGCCUAACACAUGCAAGUCGAGCGAAGCACUUGCUUUUGAUUCUUCGGAUGAAGAAGCUUGUGACUGAGCGGCGGACGGGUGAGUAACACGUAGGUAACCUGCCUCACACAGGGGGAUAACAGUUAGAAAUGACUGCUAAUACCGCAUAAGCGCACAGGGCUGCAUGGCCCGG
This 210-nucleotide ribosomal RNA is filed under the name uncultured bacterium. Its description in RNAcentral is "partial 16S ribosomal RNA". It matches the Rfam family "Bacterial small subunit ribosomal RNA", at positions 8 to 198 of the family's 1533-position model. The record is from RNAcentral.